GCAACGUGGGUCCCCACAGACAGUGGAGACAGGGGAGAAGCAGUGACGGAGAGUGAGACACCACCAGAGAGGGGUGCCCUGCUGAUGGACAGAGCUACUUCCUGGACCAACCAGCAGGAGGCGCCACAGUGGCAUAGGGACAUUU
Dermochelys coriacea (leatherback sea turtle) is the source of this 145-nucleotide long non-coding RNA. RefSeq lists it as uncharacterized. Lineage: Eukaryota; Metazoa; Chordata; Testudines; Dermochelyidae. The transcript is spliced from 3 exons. The record is from RefSeq and is a predicted model, not a curated record.